CCUCUUUCGACAGGGACGAAGCUUUUGUGACGGUACCUGUAUAAGAAGCACCGGCUAACUACGUGCCAGCAGCCGCGGUAAUACGUAGGGUGCGAGCGUUGUCCGGAAUUACUGGGCGUAAAGAGCUCGUAGGUGGUUUGUCGCGUCGUCUGUGAAAUUCCGGGGCUUAACUCCGGGCGUGCAGGCGAUACGGGCAUAACUUGAGUGCUGUAGGGGAGACUGGAAUUCCUGGUGUAGCGGUGAAAUGCGCAGAUAUCAGGAGGAACACCGAUGGCGAAGGCAGGUCUCUGGGCAGUAACUGACGCUGAGGAGCGAAAGCAUGGGGACCGAACAGGAUUAGAUACCCUGGUAGUCCAUGCCGUAAACGGUGGGCGCUAGGUGUAGGGGACUUCCACGUCUUCUGUGCCGUAGCUAACGCAUUAAGCGCCCCGCCUGGGGAGUACGGCCGCAAGGCUAAAACUCAAAGGAAUUGACGGGGGCCCGCACAAGCGGCGGAGCAUGUGGAUUAAUUCGAUGCAACGCGAAGAACCUUACCUGGGCUUGACAUAUACAGGAUCGCUGCAGAGAUGUAGUUUCCCUUGUGGUCUGUAUACAGGUGGUGCAUGGUUGUCGUCAGCUCGUGUCGUGAGAUGUUGGGUUAAGUCCCGCAACGAGCGCAACCCUUGUCUUAUGUUGCCAGCACACUAUGGUGGGGACUCAUGAGAGACUGCCGGGGUUAACUCGGAGGAAGGUGGGGAUGACGUCAAAUCAUCAUGCCCCUUAUGUCCAGGGCUUCACACAUGCUACAAUGGUCGGUACAACGCGCUGCGAGCCUGUGAGGGUGAGCGAAUCGCUGAAAGCCGGCCUCAGUUCGGAUUGGGGUCUGCAACUCGACCCCAUGAAGUCGGAGUCGCUAGUAAUCGCAGAUCAGCAACGCUGCGGUGAAUACGUUCCCGGGCCUUGUACACACCGCCCGUCAAGUCACGAAAGUUGGUAACACCCGAAGCCAGUGGCCUAACCCUUGUGGAGGGAGCUGUCGAAGGUGGGAUCGGCGAUUGGGACUAAGUCGUAACAAGGUAGCCGUACCGGAAGGUGCGGCUG
RNAcentral lists this ribosomal RNA (1080 nucleotides) under human gut metagenome. RNAcentral describes it as "bacterial SSU rRNA". It matches the Rfam family "Bacterial small subunit ribosomal RNA", at positions 430 to 1520 of the family's 1533-position model. The record is from RNAcentral.